GGCAAAUGCCCGCAAGAAACCCAUUUAUUUAUCUACUUAUCGUCUAGAUGGGGUAGGUGUGAAGUCUACCUUCGUACAAGAUCCAAUCUCGAUUAUGUUUCUGCGGAAGUAUCUACUCGUUACGGAAUCUUAAGUAUCAAAGUAAUAGAUGUUAUGUUAGAACCUGGCGUUCUGGGCAACUGGGAUCAACUUUCAGGUUUUACAAAACAAACUUCUAAUCCAUGUUGUCAAAAAACAAAAACAGAAGUGCUUGUUCAUCACCCGGGCAAGUUAUCUCUUAUUCAGUGUUCAAGAUAGAAAGGUUUGCUGUUAAGCUAAAAAUGUAGUCAAGAAAGAAAAUAAAAGCUGUAAGAUGAAUUGAAUUAAAAGCGUGUAUGGGUCUGCCUGGAGAAUUAAAAUGAGAUGAGAGGAGCUCUCUAUUUUAUGAAACCAAUGACCUAAACUUCUGUUUUAAUAACGCUAAAUUACUUUAGGAAUCUUCCAUGAUUUUUUUCUGCCACAUCGCACAUUCCAUUUCAUUAACAAGUCUCGUAAUCAGUAGAUUAGAAGUUCCUACAUGUGCUGGUCGAUGCUUCGCAGCUUCUCCCUGAAGCUUUCUUAUCUUGAUCACUCUCUUUCAUAAGAAUCGACCAACUCACAUGUGCUCAAUGGGAGAUGUUUAUUUUGGGUGUAAUCAAUAUUAAAUAUCAUUAUGUGCAUGGAAUACUCGUAUGUGAUGCUCAUUGAAAAACCAAUUGACCAGUUUUCAAGCACUAUAUCACUUGGAGAAGGCAUUAUAAGGCAGAGUUGAGGAAACACCAGGUAACCCUUAAUGAUUCCUAGGUGCUAUAUCUAGAUACUGCCACUCACAACCAAGACUAACUAAAACCUCAACAUAAAGCACAUACGUGAACGUCUAACAGUGCUGAUGAAAGCAUUAAUCGAAAAAUCAAUUUGCGGAAUCUUUUCACAGCAUCUUUCUGACCUUCUCUGCUCUGGAUGAAGAUGAUGGAUUUAAUGUUAGAAAGACUUCAAGCCAGUGAACUUACUUAUCAAGAAUCAAUAAACCUUCUAAUCUGAUUUUUCUUACUUCUACGGAAAAGGAAAGGAUAAACGAUGAGAAGGAACUCCCCUGGCAAUGAAACCUCCACUAAGACCUACACUAACAAAUGACCAUGGUUCUCCUAAACAACCACCUAAAAACCUCUUGGAAUAUUAUUUGUAAAUAAAAUAACAGGUAUGUAUACGAGGAGCAGGGUGGACUGCAUAUACCUUGAUUUUAUGUGGAAUGGUGCCACUCUUAGCUGUAACAGUGCUCCCAACGCAAAAUUUUGGCUUCUUCGCUGCAGGUCUCAGUAUUUGGAAAGAACAUUGUGGAUUCUCAUCCAUGGUCAUGAUGGCACCAGCAUUGUCAAACUCAGGCAGAGAGCUAUUUCUCUUAUCGCUUGCCUGCUUAUUUCAUACCAAUUCCAAAAAAAUUCAGCAGGCCAAUUAUGAAAACAUCACCUAGAUCUCAUGUUCUUAGUGCAUAUUGUCCAAUGAGCCCUGUGUGCUAUAAUUAUAAAGGAACAGAAGGGAAUAUAUUCAGAAAUGAAAAUUUUCAAUCAUUUAGGCAUUAGAUGAAUGCACUCACCGCUUGUAUCCAUAAAGCACAUCUCAACACCAAUGUCAAAAAAUGUCAUCACAUUCCCAUAAAGAACAGAGUUCAGGCAGUUUCACAUAAGCCUUGAUCACUAACCAGUUCAAAUUCCAAUCAAUAUAUGCAUAACAAAUCCACUUUGACGUGACAAUCUGUUUUGACUGUCCUAACAUGCAAAAUUCAAUUUUGACAUUAUAAAUAUGGUUGGGAAAAAAAUAAUGGGGUUUUAUAAAAGGAUAUUUACCACAAAUCUUGAUAGGAGCUUCAAGCUCUAGAAGAUUGGGCUGCUUCAAGAAAAUCUCCCUCGAAGUGAUGCAAAGUUGCCUAAUUUCAGCCUCGGAAAGCUGAACCUGGUUUCCCCCAACUUCAAGCAACCUAUUAAUGAUUCCAUCAAGAACAAAAGGCUCCAAUUUUAUUUUAUUUUUUUGCCUCUGUUAAGUCUUCUGACUAAAAUAAAAGGGUGAAACAGGAUUAAAGGGAAUAGGAUCUGUUUGGGGGUCUGGGUUUCUUUGUAGUGGAGUAAAGAAUGAAUGGUGCUAUUUUGAAAAAAAAAAAAAAAAGAUAAAUGGAAAGCAAGUAGCGAGUGUUUCAAGUAGUAGAAAAGUAGUGGCUAGGUGAGAAAUGGACCCCAAAAAGAAGCUCUUCCUCGAGAGAAAGAAAUGCUGAUAAUGACAGCGAUCUUGACGCUUGUUUUCUUUGAAAAUUUUCAAGCGGGGCGGCAGGCUGCGACCACCCAAUUGAAGUGUUUUUGCUUUUUCGGAAAGUGAUGAUGGUGGACCAUUGUCCAUUGCCACUUGAGAGCCCGGCCUUAUCUCCAUCUCAUCUUCACUUCUUAUGCCUUCUCUUUGGGCUGAAAAAUUGCUACCUCUUGGGAGCUCUUUGGUGACCUUGAAUAUUAUCCUCAACCAACCGACACAGAAAAGGGCUCCGAAGAGAGGUGGACAUGGUUACUUAGGUUCUGUUUGAUUUAAGAUAGAGUGUUAAAAGAUAAAUUAUUAAAGAUGUAAAAAGUGAUUAAAGGAUAAAAUAUUGAGAAUAUUUCAUUUCCGUGUAAGAACUAUGUAUAAUGGUGGAAUCCAAUAAAUUUAAAUUUAAAAUCAAAAUUUAAAUUAUAUAUAAUAAAAUAUAAAAUAUAAUAUUUAUUUGUGGCGCCUACUGAUUAUUUGUAAAGAAAUAAUAGAAAUUAAAUGGUUAGUUAGAAAAAAAUAAAACUUGCACAAGUCUUAAAAAUUGGACCGAAACUGUCUAAGGAAUAGAAAAGAGAACUGGUUAUUCACGUGGAUACUAGAUUUUGGAGACUAGAGAAAAAAGAAAACUUCAUGACACAACAUUUUCCCGUGAAAUUUCUUUUUCCUGCCAGGUGUGUAACUUUCAUGUCCAUCUUCAUUUAUAAAGUUUUCUAGCAAAAAAAUAUUUAUUGUAAGAGCAGCUAAUCUCUAGAAGAUGAAAAAAAAAAACAAAUAACAACAUUUUCAAAGUAGUAACAGCAUAUUUUAGCUCACUAGCAGUCGAAAAUCAUGUUAUGAUCAACUUUAAGAUCUUCAUGAAGAUAAGGUAUCCACUAGACCACUACACAUAAAAUGAUUUACUUGCUACCUAUACCAAAGUGCUGCUACUACUUUAUACAGAGAAGCCAGUUCCAAGAAGCAAGGAACUUGUAGUGGUUCAUGAUGACUCGUCUAAAAAGGCAAGACUUCAAAAGAUUCAGAUAUUAGACACAGAGACUCACCUGCUUCUUCAACUAAUUACACCAGUGAGAGAAGAUUGGAUAAAGCUGGAGAGGGGGGGGGGAGAGAGAUGAUUGUUGUUGGGGGUGGAGAGUGGCCAGCUAUUUAUAAAGGUUUCAACUUUCAUGUGAUUAACACAAACCCAAAAUCAAUGCGGCAUCUAAUGGUAUAUACCCACUUAAUGAUAGUCAGCUCUUUCACAGGCUUGCCACUUCUCUGUAUCCUCUCUGUUAAUCACAACCCCUUCUUUAUUGAAUGGACGUUUUAGCUUUUUUUUUAUAUAUAUAUAUAUAUACUUGUGCCCUUUAAAUAGUUAUUAAUCGUCAUCUCUAAUUGAGGCGUUGGUACGUUCAAAACAAACUGAGGUGUUGGUGGUCUAUUUACAAGAAUUUAAGGUCAAGCACCAUAAAGUUACAGUGAUCAAGUUGGAAAUUGCCCGCCCUCCUCCUGGUAAACUAGCUGGGAAAGUAGAAAUCAAGGGAUUUUCAGGAUUCUGACCAAUGCUAGAGGCAUAGACAAACCAUGGAGUCCUUACUAACGAUGAAGGUGCUCAAAAGACUUGCCUUUUAGCAACCGCCUGGAGUCCAUCCAUCCUUCCAUUCCACCUUAAUCCAAUCUUAAUUACAAAUAGUUUGUAUAAAAACAUAACGUAAAACUUGGGGAUUCCUUCAUCCCUUUAGAUAAUUCUCAUUUCGUUAUCCUCAUCCUAUUUUUUAAUCUAACCAAGGAGGCGACUCGUUACUUCAAAAGGAGAAUUUAAUCCUACCAUCUCCAAUUUCCCUUAGAUUGAAUUCAUUCUAACACCCGUUCUCCUCUUCUAGGACUAAAACAAAGCCUUAAAAGGUUGUACUACUAAUAAAGCCCCCACAAAAAAUGGGAACUACAAUGACACUUUACAUCAGCCUCUCAGUUCUGGUGGAUUGCGGUGCGGGCCACCGCUGAUUCUAUAGGACAGAAUUCAUCUCAGAAAGAGCAUUUUCUCAUCCUCUCCUCUCCAAAAAUAAAUAAAUAGAUUAGUGAAGACCGAGGAGUAAAAGAAGCUCAAGGGAGUUCAGGGAAUGUAGCCGUGAAUUCAAAUACUUUGUUGACCCCAUCAUGAAAAUGAUCACGCAGUUAUUUUCUGAGAUAUACUUGUAUUUUGUUUUUUUGUUUAAAAAAUGUUAAAAAGAAAUUAAAAAAAUAAAAUCUUUAUUUUUUAUGCGCUUCUAGUAAAAAAACUUUUAAAAAUAAAUGCUACCAUAAUUACAUAUUAAUACUUUUUAUUUAUAGUUAAAUGAUUAGAAUUUAGGAGUACUGAGUUUGCUGCAAGCAAUACGAGGGGUUUUCAGAGCACUCGUCCCUCUUGUGUGCAACGGUAUAUAACCUUAAACAACUACUCACUGACUUUUAAAAAUGAACGUCAACGUGUUAUUAUAGUAAUGUUGCCUGUAAGGAAGGAGACAGUACAAGUAAGGUACAGAUAAGUUGCACGUACGGGUCCCACCCUAACAUGAAAGUUAUCGGAUUAUUUGAUUAACCUUUCGAGUCUCUCCAAUUUAUUUUCUCCCUAAAGUUAGGGUAAUUCUACUGAUGAUGAUCAGUGUAAUGUUACGGAUUGCAAAUUUUCACUUUGAACCCAUUAGUUUUUACUCAUAAAAACCAAUGCUAUGAUAUUAAUAAAAUAUCAAGAAUGUCCUUCGUUGAGUUAUUUGAUCUGGAUAAUAUAUAUAUAUAUGAUGACAUUUAAAUAAUUGAAUUAUAUUUCUUAAUCUUUAAGAAGUAUUGCUAGAGAUCAUACCUUAAAAAAGCAAAGAAAAACCUUUAGGAUUUCUGUUAUUCCUAUGCAUAUUAUGAGAAUGGAAUGCAUUCUAGGAUUGAGAAUUAUCCAAAAUUGCACUACUUCCUCUCAAUUUAACUAAACCAUAUAUAGAACGUUUUAUGUUGUGUAUAUUUUCUUUUCUUUUGUUUUUUUUUUCGCAUCCGAUUAAUUUAUCCGAUCCUAACAUGGAUAUUGCUAGUUAAAUAUGCAGUUAUAUAUUUCUUUUAUAUUAAUAUGGAUAUUCAAAUCAAAUCAGCUUAUUUGUAAUUCGAUUAAUUCUACGAGUUUUGAAAUUAAUAAUUAUAUAAAUAUUUAAUAUCCUUGAAAAUUAUUAAAUUUAAAUUGUUGACUUCUAAAAGAAAAAAAAAUUAAAACAUGAGAAGUUAAAUCUUCUUCAUGCAAAUCCACAACGGCUAAAGUCUAUGGGCAUCGUGGUUGUGUCAUCGCAUCAUAAUUUAGAACACCAGCAAAUGAUUCAGAAUUAGAACUCCAAGGCCGCAGGAUUGGAACGUGUCCACUUGAUUGUUCAUUCUGUCUUAAAUGCCGAUUGAGUGCUUAGCAGUUAUGAUCAUCAUGUCCCGUACAUGCUAUCCUGAGACCAGUUCGUACAGAGUCAAGACAGCUACAGCUGAUAUAUUAAAACGAUGCCCACCACCACCACUUUGCAUUGCAAAUUCGAUGUCGGCUAGAUGUGCUUGCAAUAUUUUAUAAUUGAUCCCGAAGCCUCUUAGAGCUCACAAUAUAGCAACCCUUCAAGUUUACUCUCGUCUCGUUUAAAUAAUGUGAAAUGAUUGAUGACUGAGCAAUCAAUUGAACUAAAUAUAAUUAAAUUAGUAAUUUGAGCUACGAGUUAAAUAAAGAGUUUAAUUGAAGUAUUAAUAAUUAAUUCAAAGGGAGAUCGGUGAUCGGGAAUAGUUAAUUAGACAUCAUUUCUGGAUAUUUCUUUCGAUUAUAUGUAUCUUAUAAUGUAUAGCUGUAUCUUAUAAUGUAUAGCACAAAGGAAGGGCAUGAUGCAAGUCAAAGAGAUCUUUUUGAGCAUAUGCCGGAUUCCUUGUCAACCAAAAACUAAGUCAACACCCAUUACCACUUGCAUUCCCGGAAUUAUCACCUGACGAUGGUUAAUCUUGAGAAUCUUGAGAUUGUUGAUUUGACUUUCACAUGCAUUCGAUUCGAACUAUUUUACCUUCAAAAUCUGCUUUUUGGACGAACAUUUUACGAUGUUAAUGAGAACGGAUUCCUUUAAUAUUGCCAGUCACAACCAAGACUAACUAAAACCUCAACAUAAAGCACAUACGUGAACGUCUAACAGUGCUGAUGAAAGCAUUAAUCGAAAAAUCAAUUAUCGGAAUCUUUUCACAGCAUCUUUUUGACCUUUUCUGCUGUAGAUGAAGAUGAUGGAUUUAAUGUUAGAAAGACUCCAAGCCAGUGAACUUACUUAUCAAGAAUCAAUAAACCUUCUAAUCUGAUUUUUCUUACUUCUAAGGAAAAGGAAAGGAUAAACGAUGAGAAGGAACUCCCCUGGCAAUGAAACCUCCACUAAGACCUCCACUAACAAAUGACCAUGGUUCUCCUAAACAAACCACCUAAAAACCCUUUUGGAAUAUUAUUUGUAGAUAAAAUAACACGUAUGUAUACGAGGAGCAGGGAGGACUGCAUAUACCUUGAUUUUACGUGGAAUGGUGCCACUCUUAGCUCUAACAGUGCUCUUGAUAAAUAUAUUUAUCUUGUUUUAUUUAUUAAGGAUAAAAUACUAUUUUUAGCUUAAUUUAUAUAUAACCUCUUUGUAUUUAGGUUAAAUGAUGUUUUUUUUAUAAAUCAAUUAAGGAGAAUUCUAGUCUUCCUCUCUUUUGUGUUCGUAUUUAUUUUCUGUUAAUUGAAUUAUUUUAACAUGGUAUCAGAGCUGAUUUUAUGGAACGAGGCUUAAUCUCAAACACAGCUUUCGUGGAUCCAACUGGUAUUUUGUCUUCCGCUUAUGCCAAAUCUGGUAUUUCGCCUUCCCUUUAAUUUCUACAAUUUAGUAUUGCGUUCAGUUUCUGCAAAUUUGUUUUAUGUUUUGGUGUAAUCGUAUAACUUCAAGAAGAUAUUUGUUUAGUUUAUGCGGUCUCUGUUUAGUUUCUGCAAUUUGGUAUUUUGUAUUCCACUGCUUUUGCAUUCUGGUUCUCUGUGAUUGAUGAUUAUGGCUUCUAAAAGAGAUGAUUUGCUUUAGUCUGUGAGUGUGAGGUUGGAUGGGAAGAACUAUUUAUAUUGGAGUUAUGUAAUGAGAAAUUUUCUUAAGGGUAACAAGAAGUGUGGAUAUGUCAGUGGAACAUACGUGGUACCUAAAAACACUAAAGAAGGGGAUGAGAAGCAAACAAUGCAAAGAUUAUUACUUGGAUUAACAAUUUCAUUAAGCAUUCUAUAGGUACACAGUUGGUGAAGUAUGAGACAAUAAAAGAGGUUUAGGAUCAUCUGCAACGGUUAUUCAUGCAAUCAAAUUUUGCAAAGCAGUAUCAAUUAGAGAAUGAUAUAUGAACUCUUCAUUAGAAGAAUAUGAGUAUUUAAGAGUUUUAUUCUGCUAUGAUAGAUCUCUGGGAUCAAUUGGCUCUUACAGAAUCGGCAGAACUAAAGGCAUGUGGUGUCUAUAUUGAGUGUAUAGAGCAACAACGAUUGAUACAGUUUUUAACAGCAUUUCACAGUGAUUUUGAAGGACUUAGAGGUUCAAUUCUGUAUCGUUCUCCACUGUCUUCUGUUGAUUCUGCUGUUAGUGAGUUAUUGACUGAAGAAAUACGUCUUCAAUCUUAUUCUAGAAAAGGAAAUUCUUUCUGCUUUGAAUCCUUCUGUACUAGCAAUACCCUCUAAGUCAUUCUCUAAUCAUUAGAAUAAGCAUUACACAAGGGUUGACUUCAAAUAAUACAGUUUCUGUAAGCAGAAAGGUUAUUGAAAGACUCAGUGUCCCAAAUUAAGACAACAUAAUCAAUCUUUGAAAGCCUGGUAGCCAGUCACAGUCUAAUGCUCAUAGACCACCUCAGGGUUAUAAAUCACCACACCACAAUACUGCAGCAGUAGCUUCAUCAGUCUCUAUCACCGAUCCUAGAACUCUGGCUGUGUAAUUUCAAAAGUUUAUCUCCUUACAGCCACAAACAAUGUUCGCUUCUCCUUCUGUAGGUUAGUUGCCUCAUAAUUCCUCAGGUAUGUCACAUGCUGAAUGAGUCUUGGAUUUUAGUGCUUCACAUCAUAUGUCUCCAGAUUCUUCAUCCUUUACUUUCGUGUCCCCUUCGCCUUCCAUUCUUGUUGUGACUGCUGAUGACACUCCUAUGCCCUUAGCAGGUGUUGGUUCUGUUAUCACACCUCACUUGUCUCUCCCUAAUGUUUAUCUUAUUCCAAAACUCAAAUUGAAUCUUGCUUCUGUUGGUCAAUUAUAUGAUUUUGGUGAUUAUUUAGUCAUGUUUUCUGGUUUCUUUUGUUGUGUACAAGAUCUGCAGUCUUCGAAGCUGAUUAGGACAGACCGUAGGGAGAAUGGACUAUACAUUUUGGAUGAGUUAAAAGUGACAGUUGUCGCUACUGCUACUACUACUGUUGAUUUGUCUUCUUUUCAUUUAAGUCCUUCAUCUUCUAGCUUUUAUUUAUGGCAUUCUCGUCUAGGUCAUAUUUCGUCUUCUUGUUUAAGAUUUUUGGCAUCCGUAAGAGCUUUAGAAAAUUUGAACAGUUGUGAUAUUUCUAAUUGUAGUGGAUGUAAACUGGCAAAUUUUCCGCUUUACCUUUUAAUCAAAAUAUUUAUGUUUCUUCUUCACCUUUUGAUUUGAUUUAUUCUGAUGUAUGGGGACCUUCUCCUGUUACCACAAAAGAAGGGUCUCGAUAUUAUGUUUUUCAUUUAUUGAUGGUCAUACUCGUUAUUGUUGGAUUUAUUUAAUGAAACAAUGUUCUGAAUUCAAUGAGAUAUAUACAACCUUUCAAGCUCUUGUGAAAACUUAACAUUAUGCUGUAAUAAAAUGCUUUAGGAGUGAUUUGGAUGGGGAAUACACUUCUAAUAAAUUUUAUCAGUUGCUUGCCUUAGAUGGAACCAUUCACCAAACUUCAUGUACAGAUACUCCUGAGCAAAAUGGUGUUGCUGAAAGAAAACAUAGGUAUAUUGUCGAAACUGCUCGUUCUCUCUUUUUAUCUACUUCUAUUCCUAAUGAGUUUUGGGGAGAAGCUAUCAUUACUGUUAUAAGCUUGAUUAAUACAAUCUCAUCUUCUCAUAAUUCAGGUUUUUCUCCUUUUGAAAAAUUAUAUGGGUAUGUUCCUGAUUAUUCCUCCUUUAGAGUUUUUGGUUGUACUUGUUUCGUUCUUCAUUCUCAUGCAGAACAUAGUAAGUUGUCCUUUCGAUCUGCUAUGUGUGUCUUUCUGGGUUACGUUGAAGGUAAAAAGGGG
Molecule: long non-coding RNA, 9532 nt
Filed under: Populus trichocarpa (black cottonwood)
Lineage: Eukaryota; Viridiplantae; Streptophyta; Magnoliopsida; Malpighiales; Salicaceae
Description: long non-coding RNA (PTRI_LNC002477)
Source: RNAcentral